UCAGGACGAACGCUGGCGGCGUGCCUAAUACAUGCAAGUCGAACGGUCUUUCUAUGGAAGCUUGCUUCCGCUGAGAAGAUAGUGGCGAACGGGUGAGUAACACGUGGGUAACCUGCCCAUAAGAGGGGGAUAACAUCCGGAAACGGGUGCUAAUACCGCAUAGUUUUCUUGAUCGCAUGAUCGGGAAAGGAAAGACGGCCUUUGUGCUGUCGCUUAUGGAUGGACCCGCGGCGUAUUAGUUAGUUGGUGAGGUAACGGCUCACCAAGACGAUGAUACGUAGCCGACCUGAGAGGGUGAUCGGCCACAUUGGGACUGAGACACGGCCCAAACUCCUACGGGAGGCAGCAGUAGGGAAUCUUCCGCAAUGGACGAAAGUCUGACGGAGCAACGCCGCGUGAGUGAAGAAAAGGUUUUCGGAUCGUAAAACUCUGUUGUCAGAGAAGAACAAGUUGGAGAGUAACUGCUCCAGCCUUGACGGUAUCUGACCAGAAAGCCACGGCUAACUACGUGCCAGCCGCCGC
Molecule: ribosomal RNA, 522 nt
Filed under: uncultured bacterium
Lineage: Bacteria
Description: bacterial SSU rRNA
Rfam family: Bacterial small subunit ribosomal RNA
Source: RNAcentral